GCUCAGAUUGAACGCUGGCGGCAUGCUUUACACAUGCAAGUCGAACGGCAGCACAGGGAGCUUGCUCCCGGGUGGCGAGUGGCGCACGGGUGAGUAAUACAUCGGAACGUGUCCUGUUGUGGGGGAUAACUGCUCGAAAGGGUGGCUAAUACCGCAUGAGACCUGAGGGUGAAAGCGGGGGAUCGCAAGACCUCGCGCAAUUGGAGCGGCCGAUGCCCGAUUAGCUAGUUGGUGAGGUAAAGGCUCACCAAGGCGACGAUCGGUAGCUGGUCUGAGAGGACGACCAGCCACACUGGGACUGAGACACGGCCCAGACUCCUACGGGAGGCAGCAGUA
This 336-nucleotide ribosomal RNA is filed under the name uncultured bacterium. RNAcentral's name for it is "bacterial SSU rRNA". It matches the Rfam family "Bacterial small subunit ribosomal RNA", at positions 22 to 356 of the family's 1533-position model. The record is from RNAcentral.